GACCUCGUGGUGUAACAGUAGCGCAUCUGACAUCUGACUCCAGAUCAGAAGGUUGUGUAUUCAAAUCACAUCCGGGUCA
RNAcentral lists this transfer RNA (79 nucleotides) under Pteropus alecto (black flying fox). It matches the Rfam family "tRNA". Rfam says of the family: Transfer RNA (tRNA) molecules are approximately 80 nucleotides in length. Their secondary structure includes four short double-helical elements and three loops (D, anti-codon, and T loops). Further hydrogen bonds mediate the characteristic L-shaped molecular structure. tRNAs have two regions of fundamental functional importance: the anti-codon, which is responsible for specific mRNA codon recognition, and the 3' end, to which the tRNAs corresponding amino acid is attached (by aminoacyl-tRNA synthetases). tRNAs cope with the degeneracy of the genetic code in two manners: having more than one tRNA (with a specific anti-codon) for a particular amino acid; and 'wobble' base-pairing, i.e. permitting non-standard base-pairing at the 3rd anti-codon position. Lineage: Eukaryota; Metazoa; Chordata; Mammalia; Chiroptera; Pteropodidae. The record is from Rfam by way of RNAcentral.